This 252-nucleotide ribosomal RNA is filed under the name uncultured bacterium. RNAcentral's name for it is "partial 16S ribosomal RNA". It matches the Rfam family "Archaeal small subunit ribosomal RNA", at positions 475 to 726 of the family's 1478-position model. The record is from RNAcentral.
ACCGGCAGUUCUAGUGGUAGCAGUUAUUAUUGGGCCUAAAGCGUCCGUAGCCGGUUUAAUAAGUCUCUGGUGAAAUCCUGUAGCUUAACUAUGGGAAUUGCUGGAGAUACUAUUAGACUUGAGAUCGGGAGAGGUUAGAGGUACUCCCAGGGUAGAGGUGAAAUUCUGUAAUCCUGGGAGGACCGCCUGUUGCGAAGGCGUCUAACUGGAACGAUUCUGACGGUGAGGGACGAAAGUUAGGGGCGCGAACCG